GCGUUCGUAGUCCAGUGGUUAGGAUAUCGCCUUCCCAAUGUCCCUAAGGACAUCGGACCAGGCGGGUACCCGAGUUCGAAUCUCGGCGGACGCA
Non-coding RNA from Pseudovirgaria hyperparasitica, 94 nucleotides. The record is from the annotation of a RefSeq genome assembly. Lineage: Eukaryota; Fungi; Ascomycota; Dothideomycetes; Acrospermales; Acrospermaceae.